Peromyscus eremicus (cactus mouse) is the source of this 683-nucleotide long non-coding RNA. RefSeq lists it as uncharacterized. The transcript is spliced from 3 exons. NCBI's taxonomy places the organism in Eukaryota, Metazoa, Chordata, Mammalia, Rodentia, Cricetidae. The record is from RefSeq and is a predicted model, not a curated record.
AGAUUUGCUCCUUUGUGGUGUCAGGAAGAAAGUGUGGAGGAUGGGUCGUCUACACCAUGGAUGAUCCUUUUCCUCAGAUUCAGGACAGUCUCUGCUGGGAAGCCAGUCCAGCUGGGACCCCGCAGCUGAACAGUAUUUAUAAAAGGAAUAAAUUUUAAGCACAAGGAAGAAAGCAAACAAGAAUUAUGAAAUCUUGUACAUGGAACAUCACAGUCCUAAGAAAGAAAAUAUUCCUGCCUAUGACGAACAAAAAUGAAAAAGAGCUGCCACGAUUAUUUCUUUGAACUAAUAAUACUACAUGCAUAUUCAUGGUUAUCUUGGGAUCAGAGUAAACAUGGCAUGGAAGAUCCAUUCUUUUUUCACCUCUAGCCCCAAUAUCUCACCAAUUGGAUGCAAGUGAAUAAUUGCAAAUACAUUUUAAAAUUGUUUGACAUUCUGUUUCCAAUCCAAGAAAAGAAAUAGCCUUGUUUCCUGGCCCAUUUUAUGCUUAUCUGUCUAUAGUGAUAAGAAGUCAAAAAUAAGAAGCAUAUAAAUUAAAUUUGAAUUUUCUUUGCUUGUAACAUCCUUAAAUGAGUGAAAUUUUAUGAAUUAAAUUGUAGAUUAUAUGUUUUACUUAGAGCAUGGAACAACCUCCAGAAUAGAUUAUAUAUACAUUGGGCUAUAAAACAAGACUUAAUACUUUC